RNAcentral lists this ribosomal RNA (332 nucleotides) under uncultured bacterium. RNAcentral describes it as "bacterial SSU rRNA". It matches the Rfam family "Bacterial small subunit ribosomal RNA", at positions 125 to 455 of the family's 1533-position model. The record is from RNAcentral.
ACUGCCCCGAAGACGGGAUAACUCGAGGAAACUCGGGCUGAAUACCGGAUGCCCUACGAUGAACCGCAUGGUUCGACGAGGAAAUGGAUUCCGCUUCGGGAUGGGCUCGCGGCCUAUCAGCUUGUUGGUGGGGUAACGGCCUACCAAGGCAACGACGGGUAGCUGGUCUGAGAGGACGAUCAGCCACACUGGGACUGAGACACGGUCCAGACUCCAUACGGGAGGCAGCAGUAGGGAAUCUUGCGCAAUGGGCGAAAGCCUGACGCAGGGGCGCCGCGUUGCGGAUGAAGGCCUUCGGGUCGUAAAACCGUUUCAACAGGGACCGAAAUUGA